ACAAUUCUACGCAAAGAUGAUAAUAAGACGACCGACUGUCCCUUGGAAUCUCCGAUAAAAUCGUCGCUGGACCUCGCGUCCGAGUGAUCAAAAAUCGCUCACAGAGUGUCCUCUGUGUUCCAAAUCGAAAACGCAGCACUGUGUCUGUCUCGCGGUGGGAUCUUGGAGGAUCGUGGGUGUCGCAUCUACCAGAUGUUUCGAGAAUAGAAAUUUAGUGCAGAGGUUCAGGGAACUGGCUGUUCCUGGUUCAAAAUAUCGGAUUCUGCCAGUUGAAGAUAAACGAAGGAAGCGAAAGUACGCGACAAUUAGAAGAAAAUUCUUCCGCAGGCUCGAGCAACGUUUCCCCAGAUUGUCAGGAAUUCGUUGAAACCUUCGUCGUUCGUCUGGAAACCGGCAGACAGAAUGUAGAAGAAAUCUUGGUAUGGUAAAUAACGAUGAUCGUCGUGAAAAGGUAAUAUUAGAAAAUGAUGUCGAUUUCCUGGGAGGAUGAACGAGGCCAGGCAAAAUGUGUGAACAGCUUGUCAAACAAUUACGCAAUUAUAUA
RNAcentral lists this unclassified non-coding RNA (544 nucleotides) under Bombus terrestris (buff-tailed bumblebee). Its description in RNAcentral is "misc RNA ENSBTSG00005020856.1". The record is from RNAcentral. Lineage: Eukaryota; Metazoa; Arthropoda; Insecta; Hymenoptera; Apidae.